GGCGGACGGGUGAGUAAUGUCUGGGAAACUGCCCGAUGGAGGGGGAUAACUACUGGAAACGGUAGCUAAUACCGCAUAACGUCGCAAGACCAAAGAGGGGGACCUUCGGGCCUCUUGCCAUCGGAUGUGCCCAGAUGGGAUUAGCUAGUAGGUGGGGUAACGGCUCACCUAGGCGACGAUCCCUAGCUGGUCUGAGAGGAUGACCAGCCACACUGGAACUGAGACACGGUCCAGACUCCUACGGGAGGCAGCAGUGGGGAAUAUUGCACAAUGGGCGCAAGCCUGAUGCAGCCAUGCCGCGUGUAUGAAGAAGGCCUUCGGGUUGUAAAGUACUUUCAGCGGGGAGGAAGGGAGUAAAGUUAAUACCUUUGCUCAUUGACGUUACCCGCAGAAGAAGCACCGGCUAACUCCGUGCCAGCAGCCGCCCUAAUACGGAGGGUGCAAGCGUUAAUCGGAAUUACUGGGCGUAAAGCGCACGCAGGCGGUUUGUUAAGUCAGAUGUGAAAUCCCCGGGCUCAACCUGGGAACUGCAUCUGAUACUGGCAAGCUUGAGUCUCGUAGAGGGGGGUAGAAUUCCAGGUGUAGCGGUGAAAUGCGUAGAGAUCUGGAGGAAUACCGGUGGCGAAGGCGGCCCCCUGGACGAAGACUGACGCUCAGGUGCGAAAGCGUGGGGAGCAAACAGGAUUAGAUACCCUGGUAGUCCACGCCGUAAACGAUGUCGACUUGGAGGUUGUGCCCUUGAGGCGUGGCUUCCGGAGCUAACGCGUUAAGUCGACCGCCUGGGGAGUACGGCCGCAAGGUUAAAACUCAAAUGAAUUGACGGGGGCCCGCACAAGCGGUGGAGCAUGUGGUUUAAUUCGAUGCAACGCGAAGAACCUUACCUGGUCUUGACAUCCACGGAAGUUUUCAGAGAUGAGAAUGUGCCUUCGGGAACCGUGAGACAGGUGCUGCAUGGCUGUCGUCAGCUCGUGUUGUGAAAUGUUGGGUUAAGUCCCGCAACGAGCGCAACCCUUAUCCUUUGUUGCCAGCGGUCCGGCCGGGAACUCAAAGGAGACUGCCAGUGAUAAACUGGAGGAAGGUGGGGAUGACGUCAAGUCAUCAUGGCCCUUACGACCAGGGCUACACACGUGCUACAAUGGCGCAUACAAAGAGAAGCGACCUCGCGAGAGCAAGCGGACCUCAUAAAGUGCGUCGUAGUCCGGAUUGGAGUCUGCAACUCGACUCCAUGAAGUCGGAAUCGCUAGUAAUCG
RNAcentral lists this ribosomal RNA (1250 nucleotides) under Escherichia coli. RNAcentral describes it as "bacterial SSU rRNA". It matches the Rfam family "Bacterial small subunit ribosomal RNA", at positions 97 to 1344 of the family's 1533-position model. Lineage: Bacteria; Pseudomonadati; Pseudomonadota; Gammaproteobacteria; Enterobacterales; Enterobacteriaceae. The record is from RNAcentral.